Molecule: ribosomal RNA, 379 nt
Filed under: uncultured bacterium
Lineage: Bacteria
Description: partial 16S ribosomal RNA
Rfam family: Bacterial small subunit ribosomal RNA
Source: RNAcentral
UGGGGAAUAUUGGACAAUGGGCGCAAGCCUGAUCCAGCCAUGCCGCGUGAGUGAUGAAGGCCUUAGGGUUGUAAAGCUCUUUCGCCGGUGAAGAUAAUGACGGUAACCGGAGAAGAAGCCCCGGCUAACUUCGUGCCAGCAGCCGCGGUAAUACGAAGGGGGCUAGCGUUGCUCGGAAUCACUGGGCGUAAAGCGCACGUAGGCGGAUCGUUAAGUCAGGGGUGAAAUCCUGGAGCUCAACUCCAGAACUGCCCUUGAUACUGGCGAUCUCGAGUUCGAGAGAGGUUGGUUGGAAACUCCGAGUGUAGAGGUGAAAUUCGUAGAUAUUCGGAAGAACACCAGUGGCGAAGGCGGCCAAACUGGCUCGAUACUGACGCUG